UCUUGCCAAGAUAGGAAAUCCAAAUGCAAAAUUACAAUUCAGUAUAUCCAUCAAAUUCAAAUUUCUGAUCUCCAAAUACAAUUCCUCUAUUGCAUGCCACAAAGAAACAAGUAUCCAAAUGUGCAAAAAUUGAGCUUCGAAAUCCAACCACUUGGAUACCAUCUGAGGCUGUCUCAACCAAUAUCUGAGAUUCUACUAACAAGUACUAGAUACCAGCGGUUGAAAAGAACAUAUAAAAACCUGUAAAUCAUAACCAUAUUCGAGAGGCAACAAUAAUCAAACUUCACUAUAGCCAGAAAUUUCC
RNAcentral lists this long non-coding RNA (304 nucleotides) under Olea europaea (common olive). RNAcentral's name for it is "long non-coding RNA (OEUR_LNC012569)". The record is from RNAcentral. Lineage: Eukaryota; Viridiplantae; Streptophyta; Magnoliopsida; Lamiales; Oleaceae.